This 369-nucleotide long non-coding RNA is filed under the name Phoenix dactylifera (date palm). Its description in RNAcentral is "long non-coding RNA (PDAC_LNC020334)". Lineage: Eukaryota; Viridiplantae; Streptophyta; Magnoliopsida; Arecales; Arecaceae. The record is from RNAcentral.
CCUUUUCAAUUAAUUUUCAGAAAUAAAUGAUUUACCGAUGAAUAUAGAUGGAAAUCCAACUUUCAAAAGAUAUUCAAUGAAGCACAAAGUUUAAUACCACUUUACAUUUAGUAUUCUUUGUCUCAUCUUUAGAUGCGAAUUUAUACGAUUAAGUUCUAUAUGAUCUCUCCCUCUAAAAUUUUCUUUCUCCCUCUUAAUUAAUCAUUCCAUUUGAGAGUUUAGAGUUUGAGGAUAAUUUUCAAUAAAGAGAUUGAGUAUUUAAAGCUCCCCCUCAAAAGAUGCAUUUUCUUUCAAACCUUUUUUUUUGUUCUUCUAUAAUAUCAAGAAUGUAGAGUGAUCUAGAAUUUUUCAAAAUUUAUAGCAAUCACU